GUUCCGCCACCCCACCUGACCCCAUGCCGAACUCAGAAGUGAAACGCCGUAGCGCCGAUGGUAGUGUGGGGUCUCCCCAUGCAAGAGUAGGG
RNAcentral lists this ribosomal RNA (92 nucleotides) under Escherichia coli. The record is from RNAcentral. Lineage: Bacteria; Pseudomonadati; Pseudomonadota; Gammaproteobacteria; Enterobacterales; Enterobacteriaceae.